GGAGGGGGAUAACGGCUGGAAACGGCCGCUAAUACCCCAUAUGCCGAGAGGUGAAAUGAAUUUCGCCUGAGGAUGAGCUCGCGUCUGAUUAGCUAGUUGGUGGGGUAAGGGCCUACCAAGGCAUCGAUCAGUAGCUGGUCUGAGAGGAUGAUCAGCCACACUGGGACUGAGACACGGCCCAGACUCCUACGGGAGGCAGCAGUGGGGAAUUUUCCGCAAUGGGCGAAAGCCUGACGGAGCAACGCCGCGUGAGGGAUGAAGGCCUCUGGGCUGUAAACCUCUUUUCUCAAGGAAGAAGAACUGACGGUACUUGAGGAAUAAGCCACGGCUAAUUCCGUGCCAGCAGCCGCGGUAAUACGGGAGUGGCAAGCGUUAUCCGGAAUUAUUGGGCGUAAAGCGUCCGCAGGCGGUCUUGAAAGUCUGUUGUUAAAACGUGGAGCUCAACUCCAUUUCAGCAAUGGAAACUACAACACUAGAGUGUGGUAGGGGCAGAGGGAAUUCCCGGUGUAGCGGUGAAAUGCGUAUAUAUCGGGAAGAACACCAGUGGCGAAGGCGCUCUGCUGGGCCAUAACUGACGCUCAUGGACGAAAGCCAGGGGAGCG
Molecule: ribosomal RNA, 602 nt
Filed under: uncultured cyanobacterium
Lineage: Bacteria; Bacillati; Cyanobacteriota
Description: bacterial SSU rRNA
Rfam family: Bacterial small subunit ribosomal RNA
Source: RNAcentral